Molecule: microRNA precursor, 64 nt
Filed under: Drosophila mojavensis
Lineage: Eukaryota; Metazoa; Arthropoda; Insecta; Diptera; Drosophilidae
Description: Dmo-Mir-278_pre stem-loop
Rfam family: mir-278 microRNA precursor family
Source: RNAcentral
CCGGAUGAUGGUUCACAACGACCGUACAGUUUUUUCAACGGGUCGGUGGGACUUUCGUCCGUUU